GUGGAGCAUGUGGCUUAAUUUGACUCAACGCGGGAAAUCUUACCGGGUCCGGACACACUGAGGAUUGACAGGCAAUAUUAGCACUUAGCUUCGGCGACGUGUUAUGUUAAAUAUGCUAGUCCUUUCAUGAUUAUGUGAUAGGUGGUGCAUGGCCGUUCUUAGUUCGUGGAGUGAUCUGUCUGCUUAAUUGCGUUUCACCAAGGGCCUAUAAUUUUACGUGUGUUGCGGCACUUUGACCCCUCUUUUUUUAAAGAGCGCGUGUCUUGGUUUGCUUAGCUCGCACAAUUAGGUCCUGAAAGCAACGAACGUGACCGCAACCUCUUGUUGCCUUUAUACCAAACGUGCAUAUGCAAUUUUUUAAUUGCUUUGCGCGCAAAAAGGCUUUUUAAACUAGAGGGACCGCUGUUACUUUCUUAAACCAGAGGAAGGUUGCGGCAAUAACAGGUCUGU
This 450-nucleotide ribosomal RNA is filed under the name Bulimina sp. RNAcentral describes it as "SSU rRNA". It matches the Rfam family "Eukaryotic small subunit ribosomal RNA", at positions 1176 to 1465 of the family's 1831-position model. Lineage: Eukaryota; Foraminifera; Rotaliida; Buliminidae. The record is from RNAcentral.